AACGGUCUAUACCUGCGGUACCUGCGGAAGGAUCAUUACACAAUAAUAUAUGAAGGCUGCUCGCGGCUGGAGUAUUUAUUACCCUUGUCUUUUGCGCACUUGUUGUUUCCUGGGCGGGCUCGCCCGCCACCAGGACCACAUACAAACCUUUUUUAUGUAGUUGCAAUCAGCGUCAGUAUAACAAAUGUAAAUCAUUUACAACUUUCAACAAUGGAUCUCU
This 220-nucleotide unclassified non-coding RNA is filed under the name soil metagenome. RNAcentral describes it as "partial contains 5.8S ribosomal RNA, internal transcribed spacer 2, and large subunit ribosomal RNA". The record is from RNAcentral.